Lolium rigidum is the source of this 2536-nucleotide long non-coding RNA. RefSeq lists it as uncharacterized. The transcript is spliced from 4 exons. The record is from RefSeq and is a predicted model, not a curated record. Lineage: Eukaryota; Viridiplantae; Streptophyta; Magnoliopsida; Poales; Poaceae.
UUCGACUGUUCCAAUCGUUUCGCUUAGGACGAGGUGGGCAGGUGGACAUGGUCACAUCAUGGGCCAAGGCUUCCAGGUCGCCCCGGUUCUUGGCCUCUGCUUCAUCCCCACCAGGAGUUCCCCAUCAAGAUGCUGAUUUGCAAGAAUAUAUAUGUACGCUCAAAGGACAGAAAUUCUCCUGGGCAAGCAUCCAAUUGAUUGCGCUGCCGGUAGCAGGUGACGAUGCUACAAUGGGUAACUGAUCUGCCUCUGGCUGUGCACCCUCGGUGUUGAAGGUUACGAUGACCUUGGUUUACAACAAUUGGAUGAUGAGCGCAAUGCUGGUUGUAGAGAGCCCAGCUUUGGCAGUUCAGUCGAUGAGGUAGACGACACAUAAUUUCCAGUUCAGUAGCUGAGAUUUUCUUUUUCUCAAGUUCAGUAGCUGAGAACUCUUGAAUCAUAUGUAUGCUCAUAUAUGUGAAAUAUGUGCACUGCAUGGGUUGAUAACUUCUUCUAUGAUGCCUCUUAAUGAGUGCCAUACUGCCAUGCAUACCUCAGAACCUUAUUUAUGUACUGUUUGAGAUCUGUUCAUUUUACUCCUAGCCUUUUAUCAGUGUAGAAUUGCACUGUGAAGGUCCAAUACUCGAUUACAGCUUGGGUUAAAGUUUUUGUACAAGGCACAUAUGGAAAAUCGUAGUUACAUAUCUGCAAAGGGAAGAGAAUCUAUCUGUAUAUAUCUCACGUUCUUUUUCUCACCAAUUAGAUGUUCUACAUCGGUAUGAUGCUUGCUUUCUAGAUCCCCUUCCACGUUAAGUAUGAAGCAGCAAUGAUGUGCCUACUUUAUAAUGUACUGGAUAGUAAUCAUUACCAAUUUGAUGGAACGGUAUUCAAGAGAAUUCUAAUUUUGUUUUCAUUUUAAUUUAUGUGUUCUCCUUCUAAUACGGCUGUUAUUUCUAAUUUCCAUCGGAUCGUGUGCCUAUGGUAUGAUGAAUGUGUUAUGUUGGCAGUAGGCAGUGCAAGAAGAUGGGAAGAACAAGAAAUAUGGGAAAAGAUGUCAGCGGUAUUUUAAUACACAGGUUACACACUCAUGAUAUAUAGUCAUGUGGUUUACUAUGUCAGAGGAAAACACAUGAUACCACCUGCGUCCCUGAGCAGGGCAGUGUCACUAUAUCCUUGAUAUUGAUGGUAUUUCUUGUAGAAAAAUAUAAAAAUGGCACACCAGUUCCUACUUAGUGUAUUGUCUUUGCUCAAGCUCAUUCUCUACAUAUGUUCUAUUGGUACGCCUUUCUGUUAAGAACAUGGGUAAUUUCAAACUAUGGAUCUUUCUAUGAAUAUUUGAGCAGUGUGCUUCUACUCAGUGUGCUUACUUUGCUCAUGUUUCUUCCUUCUCUGAGUGAGUAAUUUAAGAAUAAGGAUCUUUCUAUGGAUAUUUGAGAAGUGCGAUGUUAAAGGUUUUCCUUUUCUCGGGCUUUCCCAUCAUCAUUGGAUUGUUAUAUUUUUUUCCUAAGUUACAUAGAGCUGGAAAAAAGGGCAUGGGACAUUCCUAUAUUGAUACUGCACUGACAUAGGUAUCAGUCAUACAUGCCUAGAAAGAAGGCUGCGCUAGGAGGUACCAUAUCUUUUAGAUAGGAUUUUUUUUUUGUCUUGCUUUGACUUAUAAUAAGCUAUGCUCGAAAGUUCUGACAUUUACACUCAUCCACAGUAAUAUUUACAUUUAAAUGCAGUGAAGAAUUAUUAGUCUAGCGUCUGUUGUUAGCUGCAGUAUUAGUUUAGCGUUUGUUGUUGGCCUCAUGGGAUGCACUGGCAAAAUUAAUUGAAAUUCUGCUAACACUAUGGUUAUUGGCAUGAAUGAAAUAGUCAGGUCACGUGCAGAAAAUAAUAAUGAAUGCCAGUGAUGGGUGCCACUAAAUAAAAUUCUGCCAACACUUGGGUUAUUGGCUCGAUUGAAAUAGUCAAGGCAUAAGCUGUUGAGCUACCUACAUCGAUCAUUUUGAAAUCAUGGUGCUGUUGAAGCUCCAGUAAACAUCUGAAAACAAAAAGAGAGAUAUUUAAUGUUACUGAUUGGAGCUCUGGCAAUAUGACGAGCCAGUUCUUCAAGUAGAGGUUCUGAACUUGACCAGGAGGAAUGGAACCUGAAGCUGAUAUGUUUAGAUUGUUGCCUAUGGAAGAUCCAAUGCAUAGAUGCAUGAAAGUAACUUGCCGUGGCCAGUUUUCUACUUGGGGGGAGGCGAGGAGCUGCCUGAGGAUUCACAAAGCGCAUGAAUUCUCACAGCUCGAGACUCGAAUUAUCUAUAUUGCUAGAUGACCUAGCGGUUGCUCAUUGGCAUUCUAUUAUAGUAGUUUCGCAUGAAAAUUUGAAGCUUUGCUACAAUUUGCAUACUAAAAUUUGUGUUGUGUUGGGUAUAGAUUUCUCAGUAGGUAUCUUGAUUAGUUGUGUUGAACUUGCUGUGGUCUUUUUGCUUAGGAUUUGGAUGUAUAGCAUUCCUACGUUACUUUCUAGGAUGUUGUGAACAUUUGACAAAUUAUGAGGCAUAUUGUUACCAGGUGUUGUCAGCAA